GCCGGGAUGGCGGAAUUGGUAGACGCAGCGGACUUAAAAUCCGCUUCCCACUUGUGGGAGUGCCGGUUCGAGUCCGGCUCCCGGCA
RNAcentral lists this transfer RNA (86 nucleotides) under Caldifarciminota bacterium. RNAcentral describes it as "tRNA-Leu". It matches the Rfam family "tRNA". From Rfam's summary of the family: Transfer RNA (tRNA) molecules are approximately 80 nucleotides in length. The record is from RNAcentral. RNAcentral also lists the same sequence under 1 other name. Lineage: Bacteria; Pseudomonadati; Caldifarciminota.